AGAGUUUGAUUCUGGCUCAGGAUGAACGCUGGCGGCGUGCCUAACACAUGCAAGUCGAGCGGACCAAUGCUCAUUUCAGCUUUACUGAUUUGAGCAUUGGUUAGCGGCGGACGGGUGAGUAACGCGUGGGCAACCUGCCCUGUGCAGCGGGAUAACACAGCGAAAGCUGUGCUAAUACCCCAUAAGACUACGCUAUCGCAUGAUAGAGUAGUCAAAGCUUUAGCGGCACAGGAUGGGCCCGCGUCUGAUUAGCUAGUUGGUGGGGUAACGGCCUACCAAGGCGACGAUCAGUAGCCGACCUGAGAGGGUGAUCGGCCACACUGGAACUGAGACACGGUCCAGACUCCUACGGGAGGCAGCAGUGGGGAAUAUUGCACAAUGGGGGAAACCCUGAUGCAGCAACGCCGCGUGAGCGAAGAAGGCCUUCGGGUCGUAAAGCUCUGUCCUAAGGGAAGAAGUAUGACGGUACCUUAGGAGGAAGCCCCGGCUAACUACGUGCCAGCAGCCGCGGUAAUACGUAGGGGGCGAGCGUUAUCCGGAAUCACUGGGCGUAAAGGGUGCGUAGGCGGCCGAGUAAGCCAGAGGUGAAAGGCUACGGCUUAACCGUAGUAAGCCUUUGGAACUACUUGGCUUGAGUGCAGGAGAGGAGAGUGGAAUUCCUAGUGUAGCGGUGAAAUGCGUAGAUAUUAGGAGGAACACCAGUGGCGAAGGCGACUCUCUGGACUGUAACUGACGCUGAGGCACGAAAGCGUGGGGAGCAAACAGGAUUAGA
Molecule: ribosomal RNA, 772 nt
Filed under: uncultured bacterium
Lineage: Bacteria
Description: bacterial SSU rRNA
Rfam family: Bacterial small subunit ribosomal RNA
Source: RNAcentral